Molecule: long non-coding RNA, 5482 nt
Filed under: Triticum aestivum (bread wheat)
Lineage: Eukaryota; Viridiplantae; Streptophyta; Magnoliopsida; Poales; Poaceae
Description: long non-coding RNA (TAES_LNC010288)
Source: RNAcentral
CUAGCCUUACAUCCCACACUACGUCCUCCUCCAUCCUCGUUAGCCGCCGCCGCCGUUCUGCCUCCCUCCUCUCUACCCUACAACCACGCCGGCGGAAGGAAGCCUCCGUUCGUGGCGCCAUACCACUGCCGGUGUGCUGUGCACGCUUCGUUCCCCACAGCCCCUCCCUCAUCCUCGCUCGGCACCGCCGCUGCCUGCUACUCCCCUCCACCACCGUUGCUACUUGUGGGUCGAAUCUAGCAUUGGUGGGUCAGAGCUCAAGCUAGAGGCCGAGACGGGGCUGGGCGAGCGGAUUCCAGGUGCGGGUUCGCCCUCUCCCCGCGCGGCGCGUGCGCAUCACGCCGUCUACGGGAGCGUGGGGGCAGGCCUCGCCCGCACCCCUCCGCCCUACCUCCCUCCUCGAUCUCUCUCCCUGGUCAGCCGCCACCAACCCUAGCCCCCUUUCAUACGCUGACUCCUCCAUACUCUGUCUCUGUCCGUGCAGGCGGCCAUCUUCGUUCCACCCCGAGCUUCUCAUCCUCCUUCCUUGCUUCUCUACUCCCACACGAAGGAGGAAGAUGCAAAUGGCGUCGGCUUUGGGAGAUAGCUCGCCCGGCUGCAGGGAAGGGCGACGGGACCGGCAUCCUGGGCGGUGGCGACGGUUGGACUCCAGGAGCUGCCGAGGUUGUCCUCACCAAGGAAGCGGCCGACAGCGCAAGGUAUAGAAGAGGGCACCGCCACCCGUGUGCAGCUCCGCCAUCGCCUCCCUCCAUUGCUGAUCUCCAUCUUAUCUCUUUCUGCAGGGAGGGCUCGUCCUUACGUGGUGCUCAACCGGCGAUUGAGAUUUGGAGGGAGACUAGGAGACCCCGGCGAAAACGAGCGUGCUAGCGGUGGCUCCGGGAAUGCAGGGUGAUAGGGCCCAGUCUAUGCUCCGGUUGUGUUGUUGGGUGAGCUUCUUCACACUUCCGGUUGUGCUGUUGGUUCCAGUCUAUGAGCAGUUUUUUUUGUUUAUUUCUGUCAACCAGAUGCUCAGAUCUAGCUAGGCUCCCAUAUAGAUUUUUUUAAGCUUUUAAAUUUGUUGUGUGCCUCGGAUAAGUUACUGCAAAUGGGAUUAUUGUUCCUGCUCAGGAGAUGCUCUCUGACCUGACUAGAGUCAUAGAAAGAUUUUUUUUGCCAUUCUUAGUUUGUCAAGAAAGGAAUCGAUUUGUCCUGGAUCUCCUGUCCCCUUUAUAAAGGAGAUUUUUGUUCCUUUGCUUGAUGUGUUUCCCUCCUUUCAAGUGUAGGAUUUUCGGGAUGGGCCUUCCUAUCCAUAAGUUUGUCUUUAUACUGCAUAUUAGUUCACUCUUUUGGGUAGGUAACUAAAGUCCUGUAACUUCACUGAAUCAUUGAAGUUGUCUUUCCCAAUCCGAGUUUUGCUUUACAACAACUUGAUUGCUUGUGUAUUUGUGUAGUUUUCUGCAUAUUCAUACAGCUCUGAAUGUUGUUCCGUUCCUUGAUAAAUACAUCGCUCUACAGGGUUGAUUAAAGAAGUUAACUCUUCUUCAUAGCAGUUUUUCAAAUGCCCUGAUGGGAUGACCCUAAACAUGGAUAGUUUAACUUGGUAUAUCAGCUCAAACACCUGAUCGGCAAAAUGGAGUUCUAUUGGUCCUAAUUGCCGUUCUAAAUCCUUCAAAAAGAAAAAGAAAAGUGCUAUACUAAAUAAACUAUCUGCUCUAUUAUUUUUAUUUUUAGUCUUGCUUCCAUCCAUCUAUUUAUAGUACCCUGGGUAGCUACAGCAGUGAUGCUCUUUCUUUCUCUGUAGGGAAGCUUCUGGACGGGAUUUAGACAAGGAAACGGAAACCCGUGCGAAAUCGAGCAUCCUGGUGGUGCCUCGACCAAAGCGGGUCGACGGAUAGUGCCGGUGAGCACGGAGCAUGGUGCAGCGAGUUGGAUAGGCGGCAAGAGAGGUGACCACGGGUGUGGCUUGGGGAGCUCCGCACACAUGAAGUGAUGAUGAGUGCAUCCGACCCCACCAUGCUGCUGUUCCUGGAGAACAAGGUAUUGGCAUUUGUCAUUGUACAACACUAGCGAACCGGCAAGCAAUGCAGUUGUUUAUUCCUUUCCCCUGUAAACUAUGAACUGAAUGGCUACUGUGUUGAUGCAUAUUUGUUUAACUGAAGUUUAGUUUUAUUAUGUCCAUACCUUUGAUUCGUUCUACUUUAGUGUGGUCUGAGAUAUAAUGAUUUAUUUCAUGUGUAUCACAUAUCUAUUUAUACUUAGUUUGGAAAUUGCAGCAUCCUCUCCUAACUGUCCGAAUGGGGGCUUUUAGCUAAUUCUUACCAAGCACCUAAAUUUCUAAAACUGCAAAGAUAUUAAAGAAACACAAACUGUUUCAGAAUACUCCAGGAUUGAAUUUGGGCAUUGCGCCUUAAUAAGAUAUCAAUCAAAAGCUUAGUGAAAAAUAAAUAUAUUACCAACGCGAGGUACUGAAUUAAAAUGUGCAUCUACAUCUUAUUGUACAGAACAAGCUUACUUAUUUUAAUUAAAGGGGUAUAUAUAUAUAUCAAAUCAGUAUAGGCCUUUUUAACUUUGAGCUAACACAGAAAAUUGUAUAGCGAGAAUUUACGAUCGCAUUUUGAAAACUCUAUUGCAUAGUUUGAACCUUCAAUUUUCAUUACUAAAAGGAUCGUUGGUAUUGCCAAAUUGCCAAGCAUUUAUUUUCAAUUACUCUUGGUUUGACAUGGACAUUGUGCCAUUUGGUGCCAUUCGAUGCCCAACUCCUAUCAUUUGUUGCAUUUAUCUAUUCUAGAUAAAAUGAUGAUAAAAUGAAAUGAAUCUUCAGUGUUGGGACUGAUGAUCGGCACUUGUUGUCUAAAUGCAGUACAUGCGCAUUGCAGCGGUAAUGUUGUUAUCUGUCCCUGUAUAUUCCUUAGUUAGAUGUCUCAGUAAGUUCAGUAUAUCAUCGUCUACUUAGACAAAAUACAUCAUGGUCAAACAAUACAAAUAUUUCACAAGUAGAAAAGGCAUACAAAUAUUAAUUUUCAGUAAAAUGAUGAAGUGUUCAGAUAUAUCAAUGCUUUCACCUCACUUGUCAUGCUGUUAUGAACUAUAUUUUUUGUGUAAUUGCUAUAUCAGAAUUGAAGUAACCCAUUCGACGCUUGACUGUAUCUUAGCAUGCUUAUUGAGUACAUUCCUUAUGUCAUUUUUACAGAUAAAUUAAUUUGUGUCAAGUAUCGCUUUUUGCCAUAUGGACAUGACAAGUUGUCAUACAUUGGCCUGUCAAAUUUAUCGGGUGCCAAGUUCACUUGCCAUAUUCUCAAUUUUGUUUCUUCUGAUUUUGGUGUUGGUGUGUGUAUUGUUAGUGAAAAUAUGCUCAUAGUUUUUUUAAAUAUGUGUACGCCAUUAACUGAUGUCAUUGUGUUUUCCAGGGGUAUAUGAACCAGAAAUGAUGUGAUAUACUUGGUUAUUUGAACAUGAAGGUCAACCACGGGGUGGCGCGACAUGGGUGAGCUGAAAUUGUUCUACUGAUUCCUUGAUGCUUUGUUCAUUGCUUUGUUCUUAUUUUAUCGUUCUUUAUUUGCUUUGUUCUUUCCUACAAGAAGAUGCCGAGUCGUGCAAUAUGUUCAAAGAAGUGAGAAUCUGCAUUUUAUGAAUGUUUUCUUCUUUCUUCAUUGUUACCUCAAGUCAGUGAAUUCAGUUAAAUUGUACUGAGCAGCUUCAUACGCAUGGUUUCUCCAUCUACACAUCUUAUUCAGUCACGAGGCCAUUAAGAUCUUUUUGACUUUUAUAAAAAGGGUGAUGCCAAUUGGACGUCACCCUGUCCAACUUGAUCUUUAACUUGCUAUUACUGUUUGGAUCUUCACAUUCAAGGAUUUUUCAUUAAAUCGUCGGUUCACCAGUUCUUUGUUACUUGAGAUAUUGUGAUAAACUUAUAUCAUUGCUUACUAUACAUAUGUCUGGAUGAUGCCUGCAGGCUCAUUACAAGCUUCAGGUGGAUCAAAUAGUGGGCCUUCUAUAUAUAUAUUCAGCUGUAUCAUUUCUUACUAUAUAUGUCUUCCUGUAGACGAGACGAAACCAUACAUGGAUCCUUUGCCUCCUUUCUUGCUCAGACCCCAUGAUACAACCUCGGCGGUUGUCCAGCGACUAACAGGUAAUUUCUCUUUCAAUUUGAUGAUGAUGGAUGAGAAUCAGUUCUAUGAUUGCAGCUUAUAAAAACAGAUGUUGGAUGUCCCUUAUGUGAUGUGCUUAUUUACCAUGAUAGAUGCAAUUGCUUAUUAGUAGGUGCUCUCCGAAUCCUUCUUUAACUAAUUUACUUUGAAGUUCGGACAAAGGAGACUAUAACUUUUUAUAUUCGUUCUAUCAUGGAUUCCCUCUCUAGCCUAUGUACGUUUCAGAAAUAGGUACACACCUAGGAGAAGCCUGAGACCUAAUAAUAGUGCUAAGCAAUUACUCUGAUUGUCAUUCUAUGCUAUCAUCACAACACAGGUCAAUAGACAGUCAACAAAUGUGUAAUCAGCUUUCCCUGGGUCCUGCAUCAUCUACUAAUAAUCAAAUUUUGUGGCGAGUGUCUUAUAAAUCAGCAUACCUAUUUCUCCACACUGGAUAGCUUUUAUUGUGACUACAAAGAAUAUCGUUUGAGGAUGGCAUGCCAAUUGUUCUAUGUCUUGGGUAUGAAGUAAUUUCUAAAAUGUCUUAGGUUUCCCUAUAAAUUCUGCAAAUUUGCGGCAUGUCAUUAAAACCUACAGGGUGCUCCACCGAUGGUGAAAAUACCUCACAUGAUGAUGUUGGAUAUUCUUCUACAAACUUCUGGCCUACUAGUGGCUGAGUAUCGAAGCAAAAUGUGACAGUUGCAUGAUGUGGUUGACUGUUUAUUUGCAUACAGCAAUAUCAUCUUUUGGAGAUAAAACAGCCGUAUGGAUGUUACAUGAGACCAUGUCGGAAGACCCUGCUGCUAUGUAAGCAAAAGGAUUCAUGAUACCCACGGUGAAAACAGAGAUAAGAUGCUACAGUUAGAGCAGCAUUGAGAAACCGAGGACACGAAAUGAGUCUGAAAAAUGCUAUGGGCUGAUUUGUUCUAGCUAGGUACAUGCAAUGCUUCUCUUAUAUAUAUGCAACGUAACAUCGCGGAUAACUAGAACUGUUGUGAUGUUGCUCUAUUAUAAGUACAAAUAACUCAUGGUUAUCUUUUCUUAUGCAAUGUGUGGUAGAAGUUGUACUCACAGGAAGACUAUCGUGCUUUGUAUAAACCACAUUCUAUGAUUCACUUCUGUUAUGCUUAUUUACAUUCCAGUGUUAGGACUGAAAUCCAUCUAUUGUAAUGAAUUUGGUUAUAUUGGCAUUACCUAUUUGACUUAGGCUUGGUUCAUCACAUAUAGACUGUUUUUCUUGUAACCCGCUGCUUGUAUGACCUAAAACUGUCAUGUAUAUGAGGCAAGUUAUUAGCAAUGUUUCACAUUUUCUUACUUGCAAUACUAUGCUUGCCUGUUCAGGUCUUCCAAGACCUAAAUCAUCAGAAAUCCAGCAC